This 554-nucleotide long non-coding RNA is filed under the name Dermacentor andersoni. Its description in RNAcentral is "uncharacterized LOC126529984". Lineage: Eukaryota; Metazoa; Arthropoda; Arachnida; Ixodida; Ixodidae. The record is from RNAcentral.
UUGAAAACUUUUAGGCAAGAAGAGUGCAAGAAGCUGACAUAACAACUGCAUUUAUUUCCAUAAUUCCCCAUUUGAAUGGCCUUUUCUUUUUGCUUAGAGACUGCCUACGGCUAGCAACAGCAGCUCCCUCAUACAGACUCCGCAAGCCAAGAGGCCGUGGAGGCAAAUGCAGGCAGCCAGCACACCUUGAACAGCCACCUUGACUGCGGGUGUGUCACCCUAGUCGCCAAGGAAACAUUUAAGGGAAAGCGACAGGCAAUGUGAACAGCCACUUCUCCGUGUAAACGAUACUCUUUCUCUCGGAUGACUCCUACGCCUCGCCACGCCAGUACACUUGUGCACAAAGAUGCCGCGGAGGCACGUGCAGGUCAGACCCAAGAAGCAGUGGCACUGGUGUCGACAUUGACCCAAUUUCUUUUUCUUACACUGAGGCAGCCAGCACACCUCGAACAGCCACCUUGACUGCGGGUGUGUCAGUAGAUUCAUGUUGUACAUAUGCUCAUAAUAAACUUCAGUAAACUUGAACUUGAUAAUAAACUUGAAGGCAAAUGGAA